RNAcentral lists this ribosomal RNA (253 nucleotides) under uncultured bacterium. RNAcentral's name for it is "partial 16S ribosomal RNA". It matches the Rfam family "Bacterial small subunit ribosomal RNA", at positions 524 to 776 of the family's 1533-position model. The record is from RNAcentral.
GACAGAGGUGCCGAGCGUUAGGCGGAAUUACUGGGCGUAAAGCGCGUGUAGGCGGUUGUUCAAGUCAGGUGUGAAAGCCUUGAGCUCAACUCAAGAAAUGCACUUGAUACUGGAUGACUAGAGGACCGGAGAGGAUAGUGGAAUUCCCAGUGUAGUGGUGAAAUACGUAGAGAUUGGGAAGAACACCAGUGGCGAAGGCGGCUAUCUGGACGGUUUCUGACGCUAAGACGCGAAAGCGUGGGGAGCAAACAGG